CAGUCGCCACGGUAAUACGUAGGGUGCAAGCGUUAAUCGGAAUUACUGGGCGUAAAGCGUGCGCAGGCGGUUAUAUAAGUCAGAUGUGAAAUCCCCGGGCUCAACCUGGGAACUGCAUUUGAGACUGUAUGGCUAGAGUGUGUCAGAGGGGGGUAGAAUUCCACGUGUAGCAGUGAAAUGCGUAGAUAUGUGGAGGAAUACCGAUGGCGAAGGCAGCCCCCUGGGAUAACACUGACGCUCAUGCACGAAAGCGUGGGGAGCAAACAGGAUUAGAUACCCCAGUAGUCCCUGUCUCUUAUAA
RNAcentral lists this ribosomal RNA (301 nucleotides) under uncultured bacterium. RNAcentral describes it as "partial 16S ribosomal RNA". It matches the Rfam family "Bacterial small subunit ribosomal RNA", at positions 509 to 809 of the family's 1533-position model. The record is from RNAcentral.